This 115-nucleotide ribosomal RNA is filed under the name Sinocyclocheilus anshuiensis. Lineage: Eukaryota; Metazoa; Chordata; Actinopteri; Cypriniformes; Cyprinidae. The record is from RNAcentral.
GCUGGCAGCCAUUUCACCCUGUAGCCCAAGACUGGUUGCCUGCUGAAGCUAAGCAGGGUUGAGCUUGGUUAGUACCUGGAUGGGAGACCUCCUGGGAAAACUCGAUGGCUCAGUA